Molecule: RNA transcript, 2902 nt
Organism: Mytilus californianus (California mussel)
Lineage: Eukaryota; Metazoa; Mollusca; Bivalvia; Mytilida; Mytilidae
Gene name: angiopoietin-2-like
Exons: 5
Source: RefSeq, a predicted model, not a curated record
CCUAAGCCGAAAGUAGUAAAACAGAACAGAGAAAAAAAACAGUUGAUCACAGGGUUGAUUUAGAAGUAUUUUCCUAUUCGAAAAGAAAAUGAGGACGACUUUCUCGUUAUUGCUGACUUACUUUUUGCAUUUAACAACACCUCAUAUUGGUUGGACAAUACCACUAAAUAAUUCUGAUGACGCUAUGGUGGAGAUGCCUUUAGUUACAAAUAACAUGAAAGCACCACUGGUGGCGGAUCUCGAUGUUUCUUCUUUAAACAAACAACUAAAGCUCUAUAUAGAUAUAGCUAUUUCUACAACAUUUACUAGUAAAGUUAAGGAGAUUGUUGAACAUAGCCAAGAUGAACUUAGAACUACAAUGUUGACAACCUAUAAGGAAAGGUUACAGGAAUCAAAGACUGUGUAUGAGGAGGAUUUAGCUCAUUUGGUUGACGGAUUUAAAUCUCGAUUAGGAAGUCUAUUCAGUGAUUUGACGGAAAACGUUACAGAUUUGAUAGAUAAUUUAGAAGAAUGGAAGAAAGGCUACACUCAAACAAUUUCAGAGAAAUACAGACCUGUGAAUUUACCAAGAGACUGUACUGACAUAAAAAAAAGUAAUACGAAAAGUGGCGUUUAUACAAUAUACCCAGAUAAUGUUAAUGGUAUAAAAGUCUAUUGUGACAUGGAUGUGGAUGGCGGUGGCUGGAUCGUAAUCCAAAGACGGUCAGAACGCAAGGUGAAAUUUGAGAGAACUUGGAACGAAUAUGAAAAUGGUUUCGGAGAGGUCGCCGGAGAACAUUGGCUUGGCAAUAAAUAUAUCCAUCUUCUUACGAAUACCGGAAAAUUUGAACUGCGAGUGAAUAUGGAGAUAAAAGAAGGCGGGCAAAUUUAUGCUGUAUACAAGUCGUUCAAACCAGUGAUGCUGCAUCUCAGUACCAGAUAACAGUCGAUGGUUACAGUGGAACAGCAGCUGACGGUUUACAACGACAGUCAUCUGGAAAAUUCUCAGCAAUAGAUCGCGACAACAGUGGUGGUAAUAAUUAUGCAGUAAGCCACGGAGCAUGGUGGUACAAAAGUGGUUCCAAUACUUGGUUAAACGAUGAUCAAAGAGAAAAUUACUGGAAAAAGUAUAUUGGUCCGAAGUCAACCAUGAUGAUCAGAAGAUUAUAAAAUAGUUUGUUAAGGUUCAUUUUUAUAUUCUAACCCAAAGGAAACAAUAAACUUUUGCAGAGUAGACAGCAACUUUUUUUCUCUUUCAUAUUUAUUCUGUAACCAAAUACACUGUUGUAAAAUGUCGAAUGCAAGUGCGCUUUUACCUAUAGAAUGCAAGAAUGUCUUAUUGUUAUAUGCAACCUAAAAGAAUGAUUUUGAAGUUUAUUAGCUGCAAUUAAACAAAUAAUUUAAAAUAAUGAAGCUAUUGUUUUCCUACAAACGCAUUUGUAAGUAAUCACCUGCAUUGUUCUCAGUGGCUUCACCCAUGAUCAAAAACAAUAGAAAAUUUACUCUUCUUAUGAAGAAGUCAAGAACAUCAACAGUAAAACAAUAUCAGUCACAAUACAAAUCAAAAUAUAUUUCUAAACAACAAUCGUACAUUUCAAAGAAAUUAUUUGUUAAACUGUGUUAUUAGAAAUAUACAUGCAAAUACACGAUGAUUUAUGUUUUUAUCGAGAUAAUUGUAUCAGAACCGCGAGUUGGUUGACCGUUAUGGAAAACCUAUUUCACAGGUGACAACGAAUAUGUUCCAAUUGUCGUAAUCACAGUCUCGUCCUCUUUUUCCCGAAAGUUACCUACCGAGUUAGACUUAUCACCGGGUUUGUACUUACAGGAGUAACACGACGGGUGCCAUAUGUGGAGCAGGAUCUGCUUACCCUUUCGGAGCACCUGAGAUCAUCCCGGUUUUUGGUGGGUUUGUGUUGCUCAGUCUUUAGUUUUCUAUGUUGUGGUUUGUGUACUGUUGUUUGUCUUGGUCCUUUUCCUUUUUUUACCAUGACGUCGUUUGUUUAUUUUCGACUUAUGAGUUUGAACGUCCCUUUGGUAUCUUUCGCCUCUCUUUUGUGAAACUGAAAUUUAAAAAGUGUUAAUCUUUGCUGCAUAUUUAUAAAAAAAAAUCAUGAACUCACAAAAUCUAAAGAUCUUUUGGGUGACCAAUUUUCUGAAUGUUCCACAUGUUCUUAGCAUGUUAUAAUUUCCCAAAAUAUACCUAGUUUCCAAGUCUAAUAGAAAUAUAGAACUCUGAUUUCGUUAUACUCCAUAUGGAGUAUAACGAAAUCAGAGACUGCUAUUUUCCACAUCUAAAAUUUUCGAGUAUACCGGUCUGCUCUUUUCGUGUGAACUUUCAAAAUAGAAAUAUUGUCUUUUCGUGAAUAAAACAAAUUAAAAGUCGUGUAUGUGCAGGUUCAAAUAUUAAAGAUAAAUAUUUUUAUAAAGCAGGGUAUCCGUUAAAUUUUUUUACUAUUUUUUUAUACAAUUUUAGGAAAAGGUCGUCUCGAUUUCUGUACAUGUAUUUGAGGUUUUCUUGGUCUAUUCACAUUCAAUGUCUACAUCCGGAUAAGGUCCGUUUGAAUUUGCUUAGUAACUUAAUUUCAAAAGUGUAAUUUUUUUUCAUAUCAAUCGAUUCCUUUAGUAUUUUUCCUCUGUACUUCUCUCAUCUAGCUGCAUACAUAUACGAAUAAUUGGAAUGUUUCAAAUAGGUAUACAGCAGUAGUCAAAUAAAUUGAAGAUGGUACUUCAGGAAUUCAUUCACAUAGCAACAUUUUAAACCAAUUAUAGCCUACUGACACGUCGUUUGUUAUUUCAGGAGGGAAAUGAUUAUAUGGAAAUUUUGUUCUUAUUUUAAUUCAUUCUUAUUGUUACUAUUUACCAGAACGUUUUCUUGUAAAAUUAUAGUUAUUAGUAUUCUUGCUAAAUAAAGGCAACAGUAGUA